Long non-coding RNA from Cucumis sativus (cucumber), 538 nucleotides. RefSeq lists it as uncharacterized. The record is from RefSeq and is a predicted model, not a curated record. The transcript is spliced from 2 exons. NCBI's taxonomy places the organism in Eukaryota, Viridiplantae, Streptophyta, Magnoliopsida, Cucurbitales, Cucurbitaceae.
AAUAAGGCAAAAGGGAGCUAUCCCAUCCCAAAAGCUAGAGGAAUAAUUUACUAAUUUGUUGAAGAAAACAUUAAAAUGAAAGGAAAUGAGGUAGUCACAAUAUAUAAAAGCUAGGGGUAUUGACUCCUAAGCAGGGCAUUGGAAUUAAAGUACAAGAAACUGAAAGAUUAAGAAGAGAAAGACAUGGCAGGAGGAUGGAAAAAACUCACAUUUGUGGCAUUUAUCUUUCUGCUAGCCAUUGCUUCUGGAUGGAUGAUGGUGGAGACGGCAGGAAAGAUUUGCUUCAAGCAAAGCCGGUCGUUCAAGGGAAAGUGUAUUUCAAAUGAUGAAUGUGUUAAAGCUUGCGAUACCGACAUGUGGUAUGACGGAUUUUGCUCGAAUGGUUUAUGCAUUUGUACCGUCAUUUGUUGACUUUGUCAUGAUCAUGUUAUAACAGUUUUAAUCUGGUAUAAAAUUGACCGAAGUUGUUAUCUUUGAAAUGAAUAAAUAAGUAUGUUGAUCGCUGCUGUUCAACUAUGGUAGCCAUGCACAUGUUUAC